GGGGCUGCCCCUCAUAUGCCCUGCUGCAUUUGUGUCUCUGCAGAGAAGGUGUUCGCCAGCCUCCCCCAGGUGGAGAGGGGUGUCUCCAAAAUCAUCGGCGGUGACCCCAAGGGCAACAAUUUUCUUUACACCAAUGGAAAGUGCGUCAUCCUAAGGAACAUCGACAACCCGGCCAUCGCUGACAUCUACACCGAGCACGCCCAUCAGGUGGUGGUGGCCAAGUACGCGCCCAGCGGAUUCUACAUCGCCUCUGGAGACAUAUCUGGGAAGCUGAGGAUCUGGGAUACCACGCAGAAGGAGCACCUCUUGAAGUAUGAGUAUCAGCCUUUCGCUGGGAAGAUCAAGGACAUUGCUUGGACGGAAGACAGUAAGAGGAUCGCAGUGGUCGGGGAAGGAAGGGAGAAGUUCGGAGCCGUCUUCCUGUGGGACAGUGGCUCUUCCGUGGGCGAGAUCACAGGACACAACAAAGUCAUCAACAGCGUGGACAUCAAGCAGAGCCGGCCGUACCGCCUGGUGACUGGCAGCGAUGACAACUGUGCCGCGUUCUUUGAGGGGCCACCAUUCAAGUUCAAGUUCACAAUUGGCGACCACAGCCGCUUCGUCAACUGCGUGCGAUUCUCCCCCGACGGGAACAGAUUUGCCACAGCCAGCGCUGACGGCCAGAUCUACAUCUACGACGGAAAGACGGGAGAGAAGGUGUGCGCGCUGGGAGGAAGCAAGGCUCACGACGGCGGCAUCUAUGCCAUCAGCUGGAGUCCUGAUGGCUCCCACUUGCUUUCUGCUUCUGGAGACAAAACCUCUAAAAUUUGGGACGUCAGUAUGAACUCUGUCGUCAACACGUUUACCAUGGGCUCCAACGUUCUGGACCAGCAGCUGGGCUGCUUAUGGCAGAAGGACCACCUCCUCAGCAUCUCCUUGUCUGGCUACAUCAACUACCUGGACAAAAACAACCCCAGCAAACCCCUGCGGGUCAUCAAGGGUCACAGCAAAUCCAUCCAGUGCCUGACGGUGCAUAAAAACGGCGGCAAGUCGUAUAUCUACUCUGGGAGCCACGACGGACACAUUAAUUACUGGGAUUCGGAGACAGGGGAGAAUGACUCCUUCGCCGGGAAGGGCCACACGAACCAGGUGUCCAGGAUGACGGUGGACGAGUCCGGGCAGCUGGUGAGCUGCAGCAUGGAUGACACGGUGCGGUACACCAGCCUCACACUGCGGGACUACAGUGGACAGGGAGUUGUGAAGCUGGACGUCCAGCCGAAGUGUGUGGCCGUCGGCCCCGGGGGCUACGCCGUGGUCGUGUGCAUCGGGCAGAUCGUCCUGCUGAAGGACCAGAGGAAGUGCUUCAGCAUCGACAACCUCGGCUACGAGCCUGAAGUGGUGGCGGUGCAUCCCGGCGGCGAGACGGUGGCCAUCGGGGGCGCGGAUGGGAACGUCCGCCUGUACUCCAUCCUGGGCACCACGCUGAAGGAUGAGGGCAAGCUCCUGGAAGCCAAGGGCCCCGUGACCGAUGUGGCGUAUUCCAAUGACGGCGCCUUCCUCGCCGUCUGCGAUGCCAGCAAGGUGGUCACGGUCUUCAGCGUUGCUGAUGGCUACUCGGAGAACAACGUCUUUUAUGGACACCAUGCAAAGAUCGUCUGCCUGGCCUGGUCUCCAGACAACGAGCACUUUGCCUCAGGUGGCAUGGACAUGAUGGUGUACGUGUGGACCCUCAGUGACCCUGAGACCAGGGUCAAGAUCCAAGAUGCGCACCGCCUGCACCACGUCAGCAGCCUGGCCUGGCUGGACGAGCACACGCUGGUCACGACGUCCCACGACGCCUCUGUCAAAGAGUGGACAAUCUCCUACUGAGGAGCCCUCCUCGAACUGACCGAAUCAGGGACUCGAGUUGAACGCAGCUGAACAGUGACGCCUCUCUCUCUCUGUCCGCCCCCGCCCCGCCCCCAGGAGGGCGGGGCCUCGCCUUGUGACCGCCCCGGCCCCGCCCCCGGGAGGGAGGGCCCCGCCUCCUGAGCGCCCGCGGCCCGCAGGGCGACCCUGUCUGUACACGUCCUUCUGAAAGCUUUAGACGGUGACAGUUUGCACAUGGAAAAUAAAGUGAGCACUUCAACAACGUGUAGCGCGUGACUCAAACCCACCGCCCUGCUCAGCCGCGCAGAACAUUCCAGAGGCAGAGCCUCCAAAGCACACAGACUCAUCCCGCUCCCCGCCUGCCGGUCCCUUCUGGUGUCCGCGCCUGCGGGAAGGGGGCGCAGGGCCGGCGCUGUGAGCAGAUGGCGCUCGGUUCCUGCCCGGGGGACACACACAACCUGCAUUUCACUGUCCGUUUUUGUGCUUGAUUUUAAGAAUGGAGUUGUGGGAUUUGUUCUGUUUUGGGUUUGUUUUUUUUUAAUGUAUUCUACCUGAUGCCUGUCAGUGUUUACGGCGCUGCCUCCAGGCUUUUGGAUCCCUCGGUAGCCAGACGAGGCCUCUUGGUACUGUUUGACUCUUGUGCUUUGAUGUCUUUCUGUCUUUCUUUCCCCCUCUGCCUCCCAGAGCAAAGAUUAAUUUAAAGGCAAAGAUGGAGUCACUGUAAACUAACCUGUCCUCAUUUACACCUUCCUUUUCUUUUCCAGUGCAGAAAUUAAAAGUAAGUAUAAAGCA
This is a non-coding RNA of Vicugna pacos (alpaca), 2640 nucleotides long. The record is from RefSeq and is a predicted model, not a curated record. NCBI's taxonomy places the organism in Eukaryota, Metazoa, Chordata, Mammalia, Artiodactyla, Camelidae.